Molecule: long non-coding RNA, 709 nt
Organism: Glycine soja
Lineage: Eukaryota; Viridiplantae; Streptophyta; Magnoliopsida; Fabales; Fabaceae
Exons: 2
Source: RefSeq, a predicted model, not a curated record
ACAUGACAUCAAAUUCUUUGGUCUCACUCCUCAAAAUCAAAGUCUGAUGAGUUAUUUAUGACACUUCGACCUCAUCUAGGAGGAAACAGUGAACAUGGGUUACAUGCUCCACAUGCUCACAUACUAUUACCAUAUCUCAAGAUUCAACAAAUUACUACUUUUGUUUUUUACAAAAAGCAUAGUCCAUUUACUCAGUCUUUGAAAUUUCUAAUUAUUUAAGUCACACAUUCGUUUAAAUUUUAGAUUAAUGUAAUUGACGAUUGUAUUUUCGGAGAUUUAUUUGAAAUCUUAUUAAUUUUAAGAAAUAAUAUAACUAUUAUAUACACUUAUAAAAUUAUUUACCAACAACGAAGAUUUUGACGUCAUGAAGGAGAAUCUUGAAUCCAUAUGGUUUUGGGAUGAGGUCUAGGAAGGAGCUAGCAAUAACAGAUUUUGAAAAAUAUCCUAACAGAAAGAUAUAUUCCCAACAGGAUAUUCUAAGUGACCAAUCCUAUGGUGCCAGCUCAGAAACCCUGCUCCUAGUCUGUUAUGAAAUCUCUCCUUGGCCUUUCUUCCUUCUUUGGUUCUGGUUCUUGCUCUGUGUCCUGCUGUUUUCUGCUCUUAUUACAUAACCCCUCAACUGGGGCAGCGGUUUCCAACAAUUUCUAUUGACUUCUAUAUGUACACUUUGACAGGUUCAAUUAGUUGAAGCAUUGAUCACUUUAAAGUU